Molecule: ribosomal RNA, 459 nt
Filed under: uncultured bacterium
Lineage: Bacteria
Description: SSU rRNA
Rfam family: Bacterial small subunit ribosomal RNA
Source: RNAcentral
AGAAUCAACGCUGGCGGCGUGCCUAACACAUGCAAGUCGAACGAGAAAGUGGAGCAAUCCAUGAGUAAAGUGGCGCACGGGUGAGUAACACGUGACUAACCUACCCUUGAGUGGGGAAUAACCUAGGGAAACCUGGGCUAAUACCGCAUAACACCUACGGGUCAAAGGAGCAAUUCGCUUAAGGAGGGGGUCGCGGCAGAUUAGCUAGUUGGCGGGGUAAUGGCCCACCAAGGCAGUGAUCUGUAUCCGGCCUGAGAGGGCGCACGGACACACUGGAACUGAAACACGGUCCAGACUCCUACGGGAGGCAGCAGUGGGGAAUUUUGCGCAAUGGGGGAAACCCUGACGCAGCAACGCCGCGUGGAGGAUGAAGUCCCUUGGGACGUAAACUCCUUUCGACCGGAAGAUUAUGACGGUACCGGAAGAAGAAGCCCCGGCUAACUUCGCGCCAGCAGCCGC